UACAGAGGGUGCGAGCGUUAAUCGGAAUUACUGGGCGUAAAGGGCGCGUAGGUGGUAUAGUAAGCUAGAUGUGAAAAUCCUGGGCUUAACCUGGGAGGGUCAUCUAGGACUGUUGAACUGGAGUACGGUAGAGGGUAGAGGAAUUUCCGGUGUAGCGGUGAAAUGCGUAGAUAUCGGAAGGAACACCAGUGGCGAAGGCGGCUACCUGGACUGAUACUGACACUGAGGCGCGAGAGCGUGGGGAGCAAACAGG
This 253-nucleotide ribosomal RNA is filed under the name uncultured bacterium. Its description in RNAcentral is "partial 16S ribosomal RNA". It matches the Rfam family "Bacterial small subunit ribosomal RNA", at positions 524 to 776 of the family's 1533-position model. The record is from RNAcentral.